This 280-nucleotide ribosomal RNA is filed under the name uncultured bacterium. Its description in RNAcentral is "partial 16S ribosomal RNA". It matches the Rfam family "Bacterial small subunit ribosomal RNA", at positions 506 to 784 of the family's 1533-position model. The record is from RNAcentral.
UGCCAGCCGCCGCGGUAAUACGGAGGGUGCAAACGUUGCUCGGAAUCACUGGGCGUAAAGGGUGCGUAGGCGGUUUUAUAAGUCAGGCGUGAAAGCCCUCGGCUCAACCGAGGAAUUGUGCUUGAAACUGUAGGGCUUGAGUUCGGUAGAGGGAAGCGGAAUUCCUGGUGUAGUGGUGAAAUGCGUUGAUAUCAGGAGGAACACCGGUGGCGAAGGCGGCUUCCUGGGCCGACACUGACGCUGAGGCACGAAAGCGUUGGGUAGCAAACGGGAUUAGAUA